AACGCACAUUGCGCCCAUUGGCAUUCCGAUGGGCAUGCCUGUUCGAGCGUCAUUAUCCGCCCUCAAACCUCGCGUUUGGUGUUGGACCGCGUUGGCUCCUCCGGGGGUCCACUGGUCUCAAAGACAAUGACGGCGUCCGUGGGACCCUCGGUGCAACGAGCUUUUCGAAGCACGCGUCGAGUCGAAAGGACCCUCCGGGCCGGUCUGAACCGUGAAUCAUUUUUUCUUUUUUCAGGUUGACCUCGAAUCAGGUAGGAAUACCCGCUGAACUUAA
Molecule: unclassified non-coding RNA, 274 nt
Filed under: uncultured fungus
Lineage: Eukaryota; Fungi
Description: partial contains 5.8S ribosomal RNA, internal transcribed spacer 2, and large subunit ribosomal RNA
Source: RNAcentral